UACGUAGGGUCCGAGCGUUGUCCGGAAUUACUGGGCGUAAAGCGCGCGCAGGCGGCCCGCGAGGUGUCACGUGAAAGCCCCGGGCUCAACCCGGGAGGGUCGUGGCAAACCGGCGGGCUUGAGGCCGGUAGAGGUGGGUGGAACUCCUGGUGGAGUGGUGAAAUGCGUAGAGAUCAGGAAGAACGCCCGUGGCGAAGGCGGCCCACUGGGCCGGUACUGACGCUGAGGCGCGAAGGCGUGGGGAGCGAACGGG
Molecule: ribosomal RNA, 253 nt
Filed under: uncultured bacterium
Lineage: Bacteria
Description: partial 16S ribosomal RNA
Rfam family: Bacterial small subunit ribosomal RNA
Source: RNAcentral